Long non-coding RNA from Daphnia magna, 371 nucleotides. RefSeq lists it as uncharacterized. The transcript has 5 exons. NCBI's taxonomy places the organism in Eukaryota, Metazoa, Arthropoda, Branchiopoda, Diplostraca, Daphniidae. The record is from RefSeq and is a predicted model, not a curated record.
UUCUCGUUGAAUCCGCUGGUGGUUGCGGAUUCAAGGCGAACUAUGUUAUCGUUGGUUGUGCACCCACUUCUGAAGCCUGUUUGGAAAUUUGAGGCAUGAGGAUUUGUAUCUCAACGGCAGUUUUCCAGUCGGUAGUUAUCCCGAUGGCUUCCAUUUCUCCGGGGGCUGGUAUAGGGUCAGAGGAGUGGCCUGUUUGUUCUUUUUAAUUAGGAUGGUGACACCUCCACCUUGAUUUUGGCGGUUCAGGAUUCCUCAGGAUAGACAAAGUUCCAUCAUAUUCUGCAGAGUAAUGGUCGUGGGAUAAAUUGUUUAACAAGGAAUAUUUCGUGGGCUACUACUACUUCCCGCGGGAGAGAUGAUGUGCUGAAGAA